Molecule: ribosomal RNA, 520 nt
Filed under: uncultured Glomus
Lineage: Eukaryota; Fungi; Glomeromycota; Glomeromycetes; Glomerales; Glomeraceae
Description: SSU rRNA
Rfam family: Eukaryotic small subunit ribosomal RNA
Source: RNAcentral
AGCAGCCGCGGUAAUUCCAGCUCCAAUAGCGUAUAUUAAAGUUGUUGCAGUUAAAAAGCUCGUAGUUGAAUUUCGGGAUCAAGGAAUCGGUCAUGCCUUGGUAUGUACUGGUUUUAUUGGUUCUCACCUUCUAAAGAACCAUAAUGUCAUUCAUUUGAUGUUAUGGGGAAUUAGGACUGUUACCUUGAAAAAAUUAGAGUGUUUAAAGCAGGCUUACGCUUGAAUACAUUAGCAUGGAAUAAUGAAAUAGGACGUUUGAUUCUAUUUUGUUGGUUUCUAGGAUCGACGUAAUGAUUAAUAGGGAUAGUUGGGGGCAUUAGUAUUCAAUUGUCAGAGGUGAAAUUCUUGGAUUUAUUGAAGACUAACUACUGCGAAAGCAUUUGCCAAGGAUGUUUUCAUUAAUCAAGAACGAAAGUUAGGGGAUCGAAGACGAUCAGAUACCGUCGUAGUCUUAACCAUAAACUAUGCCGACUAGGGAUCGGAUGAUGUUAAUUUUUAAUGACUCAUUCGGCGCCUUAAC